UCUCUUUUAUAAGGGGUACUAUUUAUGAAAAAACCUAUGCUCUUUGACGGCCCUUUUUCUUAUUAAAGGAACUUGUUAUAUAUCGAAAUUACCCGUUUAAUUUCACUUUAUUUAUGCUUUUAUACCGCCGUCUUAAGAACGUAUUUUUACAUACUUUCUUAAUAGUUUCUCUAAAAAGUCAGGUCAAGGUGAAGCUGUAAUUUAGGUGGUGAUAAGUUAUUUAUUAAUAAAAUUAAAGGAGUUUAGAUUAAAAUCUAUUAAAAUAAAGAUUCAAAAGUACAAAUUUAAUAAUAAUUUAUUUAGAAUAUGUAAAAAGGGUGA
Molecule: ribosomal RNA, 321 nt
Filed under: Stanwellia media
Lineage: Eukaryota; Metazoa; Arthropoda; Arachnida; Araneae; Nemesiidae
Description: partial 12S ribosomal RNA
Source: RNAcentral